This is a long non-coding RNA of Camelus dromedarius (Arabian camel), 518 nucleotides long. RefSeq lists it as uncharacterized. The transcript has 3 exons. NCBI's taxonomy places the organism in Eukaryota, Metazoa, Chordata, Mammalia, Artiodactyla, Camelidae. The record is from RefSeq and is a predicted model, not a curated record.
GUUUAGGAACAAAGAAAGUUGGGGUGAGGUGAACAGGAGAGAGAUUGGGUGACAGACUAGGCUGGUCAACUUAGCCCAUGUUGGUCUUCCUUGCAGGUAGUGGUGACCAAAUGAUCAAGAUAUGGACAACGAAAUGUUAAAGAAAAUUUCUGGGUGGGUCUUUGGAAAACCCUUUCUACAAGGAAUGACUCCAGCUGUCAUGGAACUUUGGAUUUUUCUCCAAAAUCCUAGGCAAUGUGUAGAUCCUCCCUGCACCCUGGUGUCCACUCCAACCUGACAGCCACUUCAGAGGUCCCUAUGAAACAUCUCAUGCCUCUCAGGAGUUGGGUCAUUUUCUGAUUCUGAUGGUGGUGGUGCUACUUCAGUCCAUGGCUUUCCCCCAGCUAACCUGACAGACAAGUGCAUCGUAAGUAAUACCACGUGUGGUCCUGUCCACCUUGCAGUCGUCUCACAUUCAGGCCCUUGUUUCCUCUGGUUUUGAGCAGGACUCAAUCUCCAGGUCAGAAAGGAUGUUAGAC